Molecule: ribosomal RNA, 559 nt
Filed under: uncultured bacterium
Lineage: Bacteria
Description: bacterial SSU rRNA
Rfam family: Bacterial small subunit ribosomal RNA
Source: RNAcentral
GGGAAACUGCCCGAUGGAGGGGGAUAACUACUGGAAACGGUAGCUAAUACCGCAUAACGUCGCAAGACCAAAGUGGGGGACCUUCGGGCCUCACACCGUCGGAUGUGCCCAGAUGGGAUUAGCUAGUAGGUGGGGUAAUGGCUCACCUAGGCGACGAUCCCUAGCUGGUCUGAGAGGAUGACCAGCCACACUGGAACUGAGACACGGUCCAGACUCCUACGGGAGGCAGCAGUGGGGAAUAUUGCACAAUGGGCGCAAGCCUGAUGCAGCCAUGCCGCGUGUAUGAAGAAGGCCUUCGGGUUGUAAAGUACUUUCAGCGGGGAGGAAGGCGGUGAAGUUAAUAGCUUCACCGAUUGACGUUACCCGCAGAAGAAGCACCGGCUAACUCCGUGCCAGCAGCCGCGGUAAUACGGAGGGUGCAAGCGUUAAUCGGAAUUACUGGGCGUAAAGCGCACGCAGGCGGUCUGUCAAGUCGGAUGUGAAAUCCCCGGGCUUAACCUGGGAACUGCAUUCGAAACUGGCAGGCUAGAGUCUUGUAGAGGGGGGUAGAAUUCCAGGU